GACGAACGCUGGCGGCGUGCUUAACACAUGCAAGUCGAACGGAAAGGCCCAGCUUGCUGGGUACUCGAGUGGCGAACGGGUGAGUAACACGUGGGUGAUCUGCCCCUGACUUUGGGAUAAGCCUGGGAAACUGGGUCUAAUACCGGAUAUGACCUUACAUCGCAUGGUGUGUGGUGGAAAGCUUUUGCGGUUGGGGAUGGGCCCGCGGCCUAUCAGCUUGUUGGUGGGGUAAUGGCCUACCAAGGCGACGACGGGUAGCCGACCUGAGAGGGUGAUCGGCCACAAUGGGACUGAGACACGGCCCAGACUCCUACGGGAGGCAGCAGUGGGGAAUAUUGCACAACGGGCGCGAGCCUGAUGCAGCGACGCCGCGUGAGGGAUGACGGCCUUCGGGUUGUAACCCUCUUUCACCUGGGACGAAGCGUGCGUGACGGUACCUGGAGAAGAAGCACCCGCCAACUACGUG
This 466-nucleotide ribosomal RNA is filed under the name uncultured bacterium. Its description in RNAcentral is "partial 16S ribosomal RNA". It matches the Rfam family "Bacterial small subunit ribosomal RNA", at positions 28 to 507 of the family's 1533-position model. The record is from RNAcentral.